Small nucleolar RNA from Lycium ferocissimum, 86 nucleotides. RefSeq annotates it as small nucleolar RNA snoR114. NCBI's taxonomy places the organism in Eukaryota, Viridiplantae, Streptophyta, Magnoliopsida, Solanales, Solanaceae. The transcript has a single exon. The record is from RefSeq and is a predicted model, not a curated record.
GUGCUGUGAAGAUAAUUGCGCAAUAUGUGAUGAUUGGGGUCUUCACAAUGUCUGAUAUCAGAUCACAAAAUAGCGCAUCUGAGCCU